This 257-nucleotide long non-coding RNA is filed under the name Chrysolophus pictus (golden pheasant). Its description in RNAcentral is "lncRNA (ENSCPIG00010011632.1)". The record is from RNAcentral. Lineage: Eukaryota; Metazoa; Chordata; Aves; Galliformes; Phasianidae.
AUUUCUAAGAGUUUUCAAAUCACUUCUUUGACUCUACUUGAUUUAAAAGGUUACAGAGGAGAAGAUGGUGAGCCACUUGGGCGCUUAGAGGCUUGUGCAAAGUACAGGCCCAGCACAAGGGAGCCACAGUCAGGAUCUGCUCAUGUAGUGAUGGACAUCAGUUUGGUUAGUGGAUUGGAAGCAAAUACAGAAGACUUAUCUACUCUUGCAAGUGGAGUUGAUCAGUUGAUAGCUGAUUAUGAGAUAAAAGAUGGGCA